Molecule: ribosomal RNA, 460 nt
Filed under: uncultured bacterium
Lineage: Bacteria
Description: partial 16S ribosomal RNA
Rfam family: Bacterial small subunit ribosomal RNA
Source: RNAcentral
CCUACGGGAGGCAGCAGUGAGGAAUAUUGGUCAAUGGCCGGAAGGCUGAACCAGCCAAGCCGCGUGAAGGACGAAGGUGCCAAGCAUUGUAAACUUCUUUUGUCAAGGGACAAAAUCAGGCUCGAGAGCCUGACCGAGGGUACUUGAAGAAAAAGCAUCGGCUAACUCCGUGCCAGCAGCCGCGGUAAUACGGAGGUGGCAAGCGUUGUCCGGAUUUACUGGGUGUAAAGGGCGUGUAGCUGGGUUGACAAGUCAGAUGUGAAAUCCUGCGGCUUAACCGCAGAACUGCAUUUGAAACUGUUGAUCUUGAGUACUGGAGAGGCAGACGGAAUUCCUAGUGUAGCGGUGAAAUGCGUAGAUAUUAGGAGGAACACCAGUGGCGAAGGCGGUCUGCUGGACAGCAACUGACGGUGAGGCGCGAAAGCGUGGGGAGCAAACAGGAUUAGAUACCCCUGUAGUC